CUCUUGGGGAGCUGUACUAGACUACUAGGUUGCCGUCCAAGUCUCCACCCCCCGUGUGGCCCAGAACUGGAGCUAGACGAGCUCGGCCGGCGCGUCGACCUUCCCAGGCCACGCCCAUGGCAUCUCAACCUACCAACAGUACCACCACAGCGACAGCUAACGUCAGAUCCAGUCAAAAGCGCAACACCCAGGUCGCCGCGCGGACUGAAGACUAUUUGUGCUGGUGGUGUGUCGUCCUCUGCUGCGCCGGCGGAGGCCACGGCCAGUCACUGGUGUGUGUUGUGCAAGACUCUAUGGCGCUCUACAAGCAGCAUAGCGGAAAACACUGCUUGGCUUUUUUGGGUUUCGACGAAUCUGAACUUCUGAAUCUGUGUGUGCUUGUCGCUUGUCGGUGUGCCAAUACAUGGAGUUGGACAUGGUAUUGCAGGUGGGUCUGAAACUGCAGAUAAGGAAUCAGGAUAUUGAUUGAUGUCGCUGAUGCACACAAGAUGGAGAUGAGAAAUCAUGGUGUGGUUCCUUCCCUGUGCUCUCAGUGCGCGGACCUGUGAAAAUAUGUCAUGAGACACCUAGGAGGGGCAUCGUUCGCAGCUGUGGGCUCGAACGUGUCCCGGGCACAAGGUAUCUCCUAAGAAGACGGCAGCCGUCCGCUCGUCAGCUGCCCCUUGGAGUUGCAUGGAGAUAUAUCAUAGCCCUUGAAGCAUGGAAGCAUGGAAGCAAACAGCCAAUGGAAGCAUGUUAUCAGCUUUUUCAGAUUGUUGGUAGAGGUUGGCAUCUGGUCAUUUUCCCACUUCUGCUGAGGCGAAGGCUUUCAUUGACAUGUCAUUGUGGAGCUCACAAGUCGUUUUUCUUAUGCUCUACGGUCCAAUGUCACAAAUAAGUUAUCUUCUGUGGAACUCAGGAGAGGUUUGCUGCCUGUAGGAGGACGCUGUAUCCAUUGCAGAAGAAGACCUUGGACCUGCUUCAAGAGUUCAAGUGUGCUCACUACAGCUGCCUUCUUGAGACUGCAUCUUACCCUGUCACUAACGAGAUCAUGUACUAUCAUCACCACUUCUUGCAACUGUUGAAGGAUACGAGCAGCUAUAACCGAAUCCACUAAGGAAGUGGCGUCGUCGAAGGAUCAGGCAUCAGAAGCCAUAGAGAAACUAGACGGCAAUUGAGCUUUACAUUACUGCCUUCUCUACAGUUCUGAAGCACUUGCAGAUCAAGCUUGAUGCUUUCAGAAUUAUACUAGGAGGGCUGGGCGAGGAUUUAGGAAAUAACAGAGGUGUCGUCGAGGAUAUGAGAGAUGAGACAGUGUUGGAGAUUUGUCAUAAAAGGACAAUUUAGCGAUGUCAACUUCUUUAUUUGAUUCAGGUUCAGGUGCCACAUGUGCAUUGCAGCGGGUGGAGCGCAGCUUCCAUCACAGAUUGGGUAUCUAGCUCCAAUUUAUUAAACAGGUAGGUGCAUUCUUUAUAUAUACAUAGGUGAGUAAACACAUCAUAAACCAUGCCUGGUAGAUGUGUGGGAACCAUAAAGUAAUUUUCUCCACUACCGUUUUGAGGCUGUAAUUUCUUGUGUGCGAGACAUUUAGCAGUGGAAGUUUUUUUUUCUCUUAAGAUCGAUCUGCAUAUAGGAGAGGCUGGGUGGCGUACUGAACAUUAUGCUUAAAUUAGUUGAACUUUUACUGUUUCAUGUAGCACAUUGCAUUGAGUGUGACGGUCUACCUUGAUGUAUGUUCAGCUUGACAGUCUACAUUGAUAUAUUGGUCGGGAAUAGUAUCUACUAGAUUCACCACAAGGACAUGUUAGAAAGUUUUGCCUUUUCUUACAAAAUUAAGGUAUGAAGAAUUGGAGGGUGAUCCAAGUGUUUCGUGUGAUGUUAAUUGUUUAUUACCCUUCCCUACUCUCGGGUAAGCUAUUGUUAUAAGGUUGUUUUCUUGAAAGUAGUAGCAUGGAUGUUUACAGAUGCAAAUCUGAAAUGAACUAUGGGCAAAAUUCUUUUAAAGAGCAAGUAUGUUCUUCCAACUUGAUCAAAGUGGCGAAGUAAUAUUUGCUUGUAAUACCUGCAGUUAUUGAAGAGCAUGUUACUAUGGCAGACGAAGUAGUUGACGAGCAUGAUCUAGCGAUAGAGAUCGCUGAAGGAGACAGAGAAGAAUCUCUCUGCGGACCGUGGGCGCCUAGAGGCGCGCAAAAUCUCCCUCUCCCGGCACUGCUUCCGGCUUGAAUUUUACUUCUGCACCCCUCUCUUCCAUCACUUACUGUUCAUGAGCAACCAGAUCUCAUGGAACAAAUCUGUCUUCAUCACCCCCACCAGCACUCCGAUAGUUGGUACCGACAAAAUCCAACAUUUUGUUUUGAAGUGCAUGCUGAUUUGUGCAGGUUUGAGGUGUGCCUGACUGGCUGAUUCAGAGGCUUCGAGCGACCACUUCAUCUAAAUCUGGUAAGCAUUAUGCAGCUAUGGUUAAAGAAUGUUUAAUACUUCACACUGUGAGAUGCUGCUCUUGGAGAGCAACACGACAACUGUGACCUUGCAACCAAUGUCGUGCUGCACGACCAUGCGAGUGACCAUCGUGCGAUCACUUGUCUAUAGCACCUUCAACGCUGAUGGUGCCUCGCUUUGUUCCUUCCACUGCACUCUGGUGGAUUCACCACCACUAGGGAAAGUGUGGAGCUAUCUUUUUCGAUGGGAAGAGAAGGAACCAUCAACUAAUUUUUUAUGGCUACUUCAGGAAGGACGCAAUGGAUACAUGACACGUGCCUGUUAUUUUCUUACUGUUGGUAGCAUCUAGCGUAUGUUAAUUUGGUUCUUGGAAAUUACUAACUCAAUACGGUACUUUGUCUCAUAAGUGAACUCUUCUGAUAUCAAUUAAUUACUCUAUGUCCACUUAGCAGUUCUGAAUUAAAUAUCAGCAGAGAUAGGAGUUUAUUGCGUCCAUGUAAUUGCAUAUGUACAUGCCAGAUGGGCAUGAGCCCUUCUGUGAUAAGUUAUUCUGGUCUGUAUGACAGUAUGAGUGGACUUA
Lolium perenne is the source of this 2998-nucleotide non-coding RNA. The record is from RefSeq and is a predicted model, not a curated record. Lineage: Eukaryota; Viridiplantae; Streptophyta; Magnoliopsida; Poales; Poaceae.